AUUGAACGCUGGCGGCAUGCCUUACACAUGCAAGUCGAACGCGAAAGCGGGGCAACCCGCAAGUAGAGUGGCGAACGGGUGAGUAAUACAUCGGAACAUGUCCAGUAGCGGGGAUAACCUGUCGAAAGAUAGGCUAAUACCGCAUACGAUCUACGGAUGAAAGCAGGGGACCGCAAGGCCUUGCACUAUUGGAGUGGCCGAUGUCGGAUUAGCUAGUUGGUGGGGUAAAGGCUUACCAAGGCAACGAUCCGUAGCUGGUCUGAGAGGACGAUCAGCCACACUGGAACUGAGACACGGUCCAGACUCCUACGGGAGGCAGCAGUGGGGAAUUUUGGACAAUGGGCGCAAGCCUGAUCCAGCCAUGCCGCGUGAGUGAAGAAGGCCUCGGUUGUAAGCUCUUCGGCGGGACGGAAACGGUUCGCACUAAUACUGCGGACUAAUGACGGUACCCGCAUAAGAAGCACCGGCUAACUACGUGCCAGCAGCCGCGGUAAUACGUAGGGUGCAGGCGUUAAUCGGAAUUACUGGGCGUAAAGCGUGCGUAGGGCGGUCUGUUAAGACAGGUGUGAAAUCCCGAGCUCAACUUGGGAAUUGCGCUUGUAACUGGC
Molecule: ribosomal RNA, 608 nt
Filed under: uncultured bacterium
Lineage: Bacteria
Description: bacterial SSU rRNA
Rfam family: Bacterial small subunit ribosomal RNA
Source: RNAcentral